This is a long non-coding RNA of Canis lupus familiaris (dog), 1421 nucleotides long. RefSeq lists it as uncharacterized. NCBI's taxonomy places the organism in Eukaryota, Metazoa, Chordata, Mammalia, Carnivora, Canidae. The transcript is spliced from 4 exons. The record is from RefSeq and is a predicted model, not a curated record.
UGGGGGGCGGAGGACACGUGAGUUUGCCCCUGACAGACACAGAUAUUCUGGGAGAAGAAACGGAACAAUAGGCAGGAGAAGCAGGAGCUGGGAAACCAGAGGGAAGUUGUUUAGAUUGUGGGGAAACUGAGUUCAAGGUGUACUUGUUUCAAUUUUAUUCGAACUUAGAAGAGGUUGUCUCGAGACUGCCUCUGCACCUACCCAGUGUGACGAUCCAACAUACCAUGCCUGAUUACACUUUGCUUUCUGGGUUCCACAUGGCUACAUGCUAACAGAGACACGGCAAAGGGACCCAAGGUCUGGGUCUGAAUAACAACUUCCCUGAUUGAUUGCAGACUGAAGAUUCCUUGGCGCAGAGAAGAUUGGGGGAAGGAGACAAAAGGACACCGGAUGGUGCAGGCCACUCUGAGCAUUUGCCGGACAGGCUCGAACAGUGAAUAGUGAUUUAUCCAACAAGAGCCUUGAGGUUGCUUUUAAUUCCACAAAAGUGAUUCUAACUUUCGCACCGGUCAAGAUUUUAUCAUUAUAUCCAGUGAACUCUAAUGGGGAUACAGUGGUUUCUGAUGUGAAUCUCCAGUUCCUUCACAGUAAGGAACUGGGCCUAAAAGCAGGAUGAAAGGUGAUCUCUGAGAGAACCUAAUUCAAGACAAGCAUCUUAGUCAUUAUUGAUCGAAGUGUUCCGGUUCCCUGCUAUGAAGUGGUGUAUUCCACACUUCUUCCGUAUGACUUUUCUUUUAUCUGGCUUAAUAAUCACUCCAAAUCAAAGGUGAGAAGCUCAAGAGCAGGACAGAUCUCUAGCCAUCGUCAGCUCGUUUGAACUAUCUCAUUUGAUAGCUUUAUCUUGCAAUAUGACUUGCACUCCUAACCUGGGAACACAGACAAAUUCCCAUAUUCACUUGUGUUAUUUUAUAGUCAUUGCUACUGGGCUGGGGGUGGGAAGGCACAUUACAAAGGCAGUAGAUUUCAAGUACUAUUAAAAUGAUCAGAAGAUUUAUUAAGCCCCAGGAGCUGGCAGGGUAGUAUAUCAGUUACCCAGGGCCCUUGUUUAUAAAGGAAAAAAAAUACUAAAACAAGAUUAGAAAAUCCUAACUAUUUAUAGCAUGUAAAAUACAUAUUUGGGUCUACCAUGCUAAGCAGAUUGACCCCUCUCAAGGAUUCUGGAGGGGAAAAAAAGACUCCUUAAGAGUCUAAUUUAAGAAUUAGUGCUAACUCAACUUAGAACAAGCCACUGAAUUGUAACCAACAUGCUUCAACACCUGUAGGAAAUGGGAAAGCACAUCUAGCUCCUUAUUUACUUUAUGGAUAUGUCACCCUAAGUAUCUCAUAGUAAAAGUAUAUGGGGCUAGUUUUCAUGGUCAUGUCACUGGUUCUCGUAGUAGGAGAGGAAUUCCAUAAUGCGUAGGUGGGUCAUGUUUGGCAAA